RNAcentral lists this long non-coding RNA (781 nucleotides) under Sinocyclocheilus anshuiensis. RNAcentral's name for it is "lncRNA (ENSSANG00000024750.1)". The record is from RNAcentral. Lineage: Eukaryota; Metazoa; Chordata; Actinopteri; Cypriniformes; Cyprinidae.
GAUGUGUCAGUAGUUUGUAGUUGAUUGUGAAUGUGUGUGUGAUACUCAGAGCAGGACUGGAGCUCCGACGACAGACAACAGGAGCAUCAGCUGAUGUCACGCCUGCUGUCAAUCAUCCAGCAGAGGAAUGACAUCAUCAGCAGCCUGGAUCAGGACAGGAAGAGGGAGGAGGAGGAGGACGAGAUGCUGACGGCUGUGAUCCAGAGGAUGGAGCUCCUGACACAGCCGGACAAACAGCCGGACAAAUGCAGCAGGUUUAAACGUCUUCAGAUGUUCAAGAAAUCCAGCCGUAAGACUGAAAACACCAGCAGAAGAAAGAAGAAAAACAGCUGAAGAACAGAAAGAGACUUAAGAUGCUUAUUCAGAAAUGUACAGUAACGGUAAAAACACCCUUCAGGACAAACUGAACCGUUUCUACCCCUUUUGUUUAUUUUUACACUUAUAUGUCUGUAUUUUUAAUUAUUUUUAUAAUUAUUAUUAUAUGACACACUUUUAUAAUUAACCAGGAAAGUUUCUUCUUUUAAAACUAGGAUAUUUGUGCGAGAGGAUUUGGAAAAUGUUCCAUUCACGUUUCCUCAACAUAUAGGUUCUGUGAACGUCUCUGCUACUCAGACCAAUUUAUAUUUAUUUGAAAUUAAAAAUUCAUAAUUUCAUGUACUUCUUUACUUUAAAUUAUUCCGUUUUGUGGUAUAGUUGUGUGAGUGUUUUUAUGGCUAACUGGGGAAACAGCUGUAACAUAAGAGUUCAUCAUCAGACACUAAAACUAUCCAAACUUUUUUUG